GGUAAUAUGGCUGAGAUAGGCAAUAAAUUGUAAAUUUAUUAACGAAAUUAAGAUUUCUGUUACCA
Molecule: transfer RNA, 65 nt
Filed under: Eurynassa australis
Lineage: Eukaryota; Metazoa; Arthropoda; Insecta; Coleoptera; Cerambycidae
Description: tRNA-Tyr
Rfam family: tRNA
About the family: Transfer RNA (tRNA) molecules are approximately 80 nucleotides in length.
Source: RNAcentral